GACGAACGCUGGCGGCGUGCUUAACACAUGCAAGUCGAACGGAAAGGCCCUGCUUUUGUGGGGUGCUCGAGUGGCGAACGGGUGAGUAACACGUGAGUAACCUGCCCUUGACUUUGGGAUAACUUCAGGAAACUGGGGCUAAUACCGGAUAGGAGCUCCUGCUGCAUGGUGGUGGUUGGAAAGUUUCGGCGGUUGGGGAUGGACUCGCGGCUUAUCAGCUUGUUGGUGGGGUAGUGGCUUACCAAGGCUUUGACGGGUAGCCGGCCUGAGAGGGUGACCGGCCACAUUGGGACUGAGAUACGGCCCAGACUCAUACGGGAGGCAGCAGUGGGGAAUAUUGCACAAUGGGCGGAAGCCUGAUGCAGCAACGCCGCGUGCGGGAUGACGGCCUUCGGGUUGUAAACCGAUUUCGCCGGUGACGAAGCGUGAGUGACGGUAAUGGGUAAAGAAGCACCGGCUAACUACGUG
RNAcentral lists this ribosomal RNA (468 nucleotides) under uncultured bacterium. RNAcentral's name for it is "partial 16S ribosomal RNA". It matches the Rfam family "Bacterial small subunit ribosomal RNA", at positions 28 to 507 of the family's 1533-position model. The record is from RNAcentral.